This 240-nucleotide ribosomal RNA is filed under the name uncultured Lactobacillus sp. RNAcentral's name for it is "partial 16S ribosomal RNA". It matches the Rfam family "Bacterial small subunit ribosomal RNA", at positions 122 to 355 of the family's 1533-position model. The record is from RNAcentral. Lineage: Bacteria; Bacillati; Bacillota; Bacilli; Lactobacillales; Lactobacillaceae.
UAACCUGCCCAAGAGAUCGGGAUAACACCUGGAAAUAGAUGCUAAUACCGGAUAACAACAGAUGAUGCCUAUCAACUGUUUAAAAGAUGGUUCUGCUAUCACUCUUGGAUGGACCUGCGGUGCAUUAGCUAGUUGGUAGGGUAACGGCCUACCAAGGCGAUGAUGCAUAGCCGAGUUGAGAGACUGAUCGGCCACAUUGGGACUGAGACACGGCCCAAACUCCUACGGGAGGCAGCAGCC